CACGUAGGAAUCUGCCCAUUAGACGGGGACAACGAUUGGAAACGAUCGCUAAUACCGGAUAGGACGAAAGUUUAAAGAUGCUUCUGGCAUCGCUAAUGGAUGAGCCUGCGGCGCAUUAGCUAGUUGGAGAGGUAAGAGCUCCCCAAGGCGACGAUGCGUAGCCGACCUGAGAGGGUGAACGGCCACACUGGGACUGAGACACGGCCCAGACUCCUACGGGAGGCAGCAGUAGGGAAUCUUCGGCAAUGGACGAAAGUCUGACCGAGCAACGCCGCGUGGACGAUGAAGGCCUCGGUUGUA
Molecule: ribosomal RNA, 300 nt
Filed under: uncultured Turicibacter sp.
Lineage: Bacteria; Bacillati; Bacillota; Erysipelotrichia; Erysipelotrichales; Turicibacteraceae
Description: bacterial SSU rRNA
Rfam family: Bacterial small subunit ribosomal RNA
Source: RNAcentral